This 63-nucleotide transfer RNA is filed under the name Pthirus pubis (crab louse). Its description in RNAcentral is "tRNA-Glu". Lineage: Eukaryota; Metazoa; Arthropoda; Insecta; Psocodea; Pthiridae. The record is from RNAcentral.
GCUCAUGUAGUUCAGAAGAACAUCUUAUUUUCGUUAAGAAAGGCCAUUUAAGUGGCUUGAGCC